GCUUGGCUGAGGAGCCAAUGGGACGAAGCUACCAUCUGUGGGAUUAUGACUGAACACCUCUAAAGAGGGGUUCAGA
Non-coding RNA from Arvicanthis niloticus (Nile rat), 76 nucleotides. Lineage: Eukaryota; Metazoa; Chordata; Mammalia; Rodentia; Muridae. The record is from RefSeq and is a predicted model, not a curated record.